This 391-nucleotide ribosomal RNA is filed under the name uncultured bacterium. RNAcentral's name for it is "partial 16S ribosomal RNA". It matches the Rfam family "Bacterial small subunit ribosomal RNA", at positions 523 to 917 of the family's 1533-position model. The record is from RNAcentral.
AUACGGAGGAUCCGAGCGUUAUCCGGAUUUAUUGGGUUUAAAGGGUGCGCAGGCGGCCAUUUAAGUCAGCGGUUAAAUCGUGGGGCUCAACCCCAUUCUGCCGUUGAUACUGGGUGGCUUGAUUGCGGUCGAGGUUGGCGGAAUUCGCUGUGUUGGGGUGAAAUGCAUAGAUAUGACGAAGAACACCGAUUGCGUAGGCAGCUGACCAGACCGCAAAUGACGCUCAUGCACGAAAGUGCGGGGAUCGAACAGGAUUAGAUACCCUGGUAGUCCACACAGUAAACGAUGAAUACUCGCUGUUUGCGAUAUACGGCAAGCGGCCAAGCGAAAGCAUUAAGUAUUCCACCUGGGGAGUACGCCGGCAACGGUGAAACUCAAAUGAAUUGGCGGG